This 663-nucleotide ribosomal RNA is filed under the name Bifidobacterium breve. Its description in RNAcentral is "bacterial SSU rRNA". It matches the Rfam family "Bacterial small subunit ribosomal RNA", at positions 68 to 739 of the family's 1533-position model. The record is from RNAcentral. Lineage: Bacteria; Bacillati; Actinomycetota; Actinomycetes; Bifidobacteriales; Bifidobacteriaceae.
GGAUCCAUCAAGCUUGCUUGGUGGUGAGAGUGGCGAACGGGUGAGUAAUGCGUGACCGACCUGCCCCAUGCACCGGAAUAGCUCCUGGAAACGGGUGGUAAUGCCGGAUGCUCCAUCACACUGCAUGGUGUGUUGGGAAAGCCUUUGCGGCAUGGGAUGGGGUCGCGUCCUAUCAGCUUGAUGGCGGGGUAACGGCCCACCAUGGCUUCGACGGGUAGCCGGCCUGAGAGGGCGACCGGCCACAUUGGGACUGAGAUACGGCCCAGACUCCUACGGGAGGCAGCAGUGGGGAAUAUUGCACAAUGGGCGCAAGCCUGAUGCAGCGACGCCGCGUGAGGGAUGGAGGCCUUCGGGUUGUAAACCUCUUUUGUUAGGGAGCAAGGCAUUUUGUGUUGAGUGUACCUUUCGAAUAAGCACCGGCUAACUACGUGCCAGCAGCCGCGGUAAUACGUAGGGUGCAAGCGUUAUCCGGAAUUAUUGGGCGUAAAGGGCUCGUAGGCGGUUCGUCGCGUCCGGUGUGAAAGUCCAUCGCUUAACGGUGGAUCCGCGCCGGGUACGGGCGGGCUUGAGUGCGGUAGGGGAGACUGGAAUUCCCGGUGUAACGGUGGAAUGUGUAGAUAUCGGGAAGAACACCAAUGGCGAAGGCAGGUCUCUGGGCCGUUA